This 401-nucleotide ribosomal RNA is filed under the name uncultured bacterium. RNAcentral describes it as "bacterial SSU rRNA". It matches the Rfam family "Bacterial small subunit ribosomal RNA", at positions 356 to 774 of the family's 1533-position model. The record is from RNAcentral.
GGGGAAUAUUGGACAAUGGGCGAAAGCCUGAUCCAGCCAUGCCGCGUGAGUGAUGAAGGCCCUAGGGUUGUAAAGCUCUUUUGUGCGGGAAGAUAAUGACGGUACCGCAAGAAUAAGCCCCGGCUAACUUCGUGCCAGUAGCCGCGGUAAUACGAAGGGGGCUAGCGUUGCUCGGAAUCACUGGGCGUAAAGGGUGCGUAGGCGGGUUUCUAAGUCAGAGGUGAAAGCCUGGAGCUCAACUCCAGAACUGCCUUUGAUACUGGAAGGCUUGAGUUCGGGAGAGGUGAGUGGAACUGCGAGUGUAGAGGUGAAAUUCGUAGAUAUUCGCAAGAACACCAGUGGCGAAGGCGGCUCACUGGCCCGAUACUGACGCUGAGGCACGAAAGCGUGGGGAGCAAACA